CAGCAGCCGCGGUAAUACAGAGGGUGCGAGCGUUAAUCGGAUUUACUGGGCGUAAAGCGUGCGUAGGCGGCUUUUUAAGUCGGAUGUGAAAUCCCUGAGCUUAACUUAGGAAUUGCAUUCGAUACUGGGAAGCUAGAGUAUGGGAGAGGAUGGUAGAAUUCCAGGUGUAGCGGUGAAAUGCGUAGAGAUCUGGAGGAAUACCGAUGGCGAAGGCAGCCAUCUGGCCUAAUACUGACGCUGAGGUACGAAAGCAUGGGGAGCAAACAGGAUUAGAUACCCGAGUAGUCCCUGUCUCUUAUAA
RNAcentral lists this ribosomal RNA (301 nucleotides) under uncultured bacterium. RNAcentral's name for it is "partial 16S ribosomal RNA". It matches the Rfam family "Bacterial small subunit ribosomal RNA", at positions 509 to 809 of the family's 1533-position model. The record is from RNAcentral.